GCCUUCGUGGUGUAGUGGUCUGCAUGAUCGACGCGUAACCGAGAGGUCCGUGGUUCGAUUCCCGGCGAAAGCU
Molecule: transfer RNA, 73 nt
Filed under: Stegodyphus mimosarum
Lineage: Eukaryota; Metazoa; Arthropoda; Arachnida; Araneae; Eresidae
Rfam family: tRNA
About the family: Transfer RNA (tRNA) molecules are approximately 80 nucleotides in length. Their secondary structure includes four short double-helical elements and three loops (D, anti-codon, and T loops). Further hydrogen bonds mediate the characteristic L-shaped molecular structure. tRNAs have two regions of fundamental functional importance: the anti-codon, which is responsible for specific mRNA codon recognition, and the 3' end, to which the tRNAs corresponding amino acid is attached (by aminoacyl-tRNA synthetases). tRNAs cope with the degeneracy of the genetic code in two manners: having more than one tRNA (with a specific anti-codon) for a particular amino acid; and 'wobble' base-pairing, i.e. permitting non-standard base-pairing at the 3rd anti-codon position.
Source: Rfam by way of RNAcentral